GAUGAACGCUGGCGGCGUGCCUAAUACAUGCAAGUCGAGCGAGAAUCUGAUGAAUGGAGAUUCGUCAAAAUGAAUCAGAGGAAAGCGGCGGACGGGUGAGUAACGCGUAGGCAACCUGCCCUUAGCAGAGGGAUAGCCAUUGGAAACGAUGAUUAAAACCUCAUAAUGCUGAAAAGUCACAUGUCAUUUCAGCCAAAGAUUUAUCGGCUAAGGAUGGGCCUGCGUCUGAUUAACUAGUUGGUGAGGUAACGGCCCACCAAGUCGACGAUCGGUAGCCGACCUGAGAGGGUGAUCGGCCACAUUGGGACUGAGACACGGCCCAGACUCC
This 328-nucleotide ribosomal RNA is filed under the name uncultured Clostridiaceae bacterium. Its description in RNAcentral is "bacterial SSU rRNA". It matches the Rfam family "Bacterial small subunit ribosomal RNA", at positions 28 to 339 of the family's 1533-position model. The record is from RNAcentral. Lineage: Bacteria; Bacillati; Bacillota; Clostridia; Eubacteriales; Clostridiaceae.